GAUGAACGCUGGCGGCGUGCCUAAUACAUGCAAGUCGAGCGAACAGACGAGGAGCUUGCUCCUCUGACGUUAGCGGCGGACGGGUGAGUAACACGUGGAUAACCUACCUAUAAGACUGGGAUAACUUCGGGAAACCGGAGCUAAUACCGGAUAAUAUAUUGAACCGCAUGGUUCAAUAGUGAAAGACGGUUUUGCUGUCACUUAUAGAUGGAUCCGCGCCGCAUUAGCUAGUUGGUAAGGUAACGGAUUACGAAGGCAACGAUGCGUAGCCGACCUGAGAGGGUGGUCAGCCGCACUGGGACGGAGACCGGGUCCAGACUCCUACGGGAGGCAGCCGGAGGGAUACGUGCGGAAUGGGCGGAGACUUGACGGAGCAACGCCGCGGCAGGGAGGAAGAUCUUCGGAUCGUAAAACUCUGUUAUUAGGGAAGAACAAAUGUGUAAGUAACUAUGCACGUCUUGACGGUACCUGAUCAGAAAGGCACGGCUAACUACGUG
RNAcentral lists this ribosomal RNA (497 nucleotides) under uncultured bacterium. RNAcentral describes it as "partial 16S ribosomal RNA". It matches the Rfam family "Bacterial small subunit ribosomal RNA", at positions 28 to 507 of the family's 1533-position model. The record is from RNAcentral.